GUACGUCUUCUGACAGACCUGGAGCAGUUAUAUCUGCUGCUAAGGUUUCCACUACAGAUGCAAGAACAAAGUGUUCUCACGCUUUCUAUCUGUCUGAUUGUGGUGGCCAAGAUAGAAAGGGGGAACAGAGGA
Diceros bicornis minor is the source of this 132-nucleotide small nucleolar RNA. RefSeq annotates it as small nucleolar RNA SNORA31. The transcript has a single exon. Lineage: Eukaryota; Metazoa; Chordata; Mammalia; Perissodactyla; Rhinocerotidae. The record is from RefSeq and is a predicted model, not a curated record.